CCGUCCGGGCUGUAGCCGCGCGGGGGAAAUGGCCGCAGCCGCCGCUCCGUCCCUCAGCGCCAUCGCCAACGACACUCCGAGCCAGGCGGCGGUGGCAGCAGCCCCAGGGGGGACCGGCAAGAGCUGCCGCUCGGAGGCCAAGUGCGGCGGCGCUGGUAGCGCGGGCGGUAGUAGUAGCCGUUCCCAGGCCGUCCUGAGGCAGCAGCAGCUCCGGCAGCGGCGGGACGAGGAGGAGAGUGAGCCCGAGGCCGGCGGCCCGCAAGCUUCAGGCUCCCCGACUGGACACAGGGCCACUGGAGCUUCCAACUCCGGGCUGUCCCGCAACCUUCCCCAGCAGCACCAACAAGCGGCCAAAGGCAGCAGCGGGGGCCUCAGGGGCGGCCAGCAGCAGCAGCAGCAACGGGGCCGGGAGGAGGCGGCGGCCGCCGCUGUGGCGUCUGGUAACAGGAGGCAGAGUCUGGAGAACUCGUCAGACGGAGAACCGCUGAGCCGCAUGGACUCGGAGGACAGUAUCAGCAGCACCUUAAUGGAUAUGGACAGUACUAUCUCCAGUGGACGCUCUACUCCUGCGCUGAUAAAUGGUCACGGAAGUACUACUUCAUCGGGAAAGAAUAUCACUUACAACUGCUGCUGGGACCAAUGCCAUACCAGUUUCAGCUCCAGUCCAGAUUUGGCAGAUCACAUCCGUUCAAUACAUGUGGAUGGGCAACGUGGAGGGGUAUUUGUCUGUCUGUGGAAAGGGUGCAAAGUAUACAAUACACCAUCUACUAGUCAGAGCUGGCUGCAGAGGCACAUGCUUACACACAGUGGAGACAAACCCUUUAAGUGUGUCGUUGGUGGGUGUACUGCCAGCUUUGCAUCACAGGGUGGCCUUGCUCGUCACGUACCUACACACUUCAGCCAACAGAACUCUGCAAAAGUCACUAGUCAGCCGAAGGUUAAGGAGGAGUCACCUUCUAAAGCAGUUAUGAACAAACGGAGAAGACUAAAGAAUAAACGACGACGUUCACUACCAAGACCGCAUGACUUUUUUGACGCACAAACAAUGGAUGCAAUACGACAUCGGGCCAUCUGCUUUAACCUGUCGACUCAUAUUGAAAGCCAUGGAAAUGGGCAUAGUGUUGUGUUCCAUAGCACAGUAAUAGCACGAAGGAGGGAGGAUUCUGGGAAGGUGAAAGUGCUGCUUCACUGGACACCAGAAGAUAUUCUGCCUGAUGUGUGGGUGAAUGAAAAUGACAGAUCUCAACUGAGGACAAAAGCAGUUCAUUUGUCUAAACUACCACAAGAUGCUGCUUUGCUCCUUGAUCCAAACAUAUACCGGCCGACUGGCUCCUUACAACAUUAUGAACAUGGCUCCAUGGUUGACACAUGACAACUAAACUUCACUUAAGUCUAGAAGAAGCAGCACAGUUACAGACAUAAUUCCUGGAAAAUCAGGAUUAAUGUUGCAUCAUUUUUACAUAAGGACAAUGCCACAGAAAAGGCUGAAAAGGAGGUAAGGUCCAAUCUGGGAACCAGAAUGGUGUCAAAAUUAGUCGCCAUGACUCGAAUAGAAUAUUGCACAUUAGAAUCACUUUUUUUCUCCCAGUCCUAGCUGAUUAUUUGUACUAAAAGCAGACUUUGGGAGAAUGGAUCUGAAGCUUCGCACUCCACCUCUUCGAGAUGAGACGGUACAAUGGGAAAAGUUCUACAGGGAAUGUUUGGCAUCUAACAAGGGGGGAUGUGCAAUGAGAAACUUCCUCCUUGGAACUUGUUUACUCGCUGCUUCAAGCUGUGCCCCUUUCUAAUCUAAAAUCAAGAUAUAAAAUUUCAUUGAGGAUUUUUAAAAAAUCCAACUGUCCCACUUUGAUCAGAAAUGCAGAUUUUUUUAUUAAUUUCUCCCAAUUGCUACUUGUGUAACAACCUCAGUUUAAUUAGAUACUUUAAUGGUUUUCUAUAAUUUCUUCAUUUCAAAUAACUUUACAGUAAAAGUUCAUGAAUUAAGAUUUGUGAACUUUAAACAUCUUGUGUUUACCUUGAAAAUGAUCUCAAAUGUUGAAAAUUAAUUUCUGCUGCCAAUUUAGGUUGUUGAUCUGAUGGGGGAAUAAAAGCUGGAAAGUUUUAUUUCAAUGCACCAAAGCUUGCUGCAUAGAAGAUCCUUAGAGACGAGAUUAACCAAGUGAUUGCAUUGUUGAUAAUCUUCAUGCUUGCGUGUGUGUCACGUGAAAGAGCCUGUAUUUUUACUUGUAUGAAGAUGGGAAAAAUUCUAGAUUAUUCUGUAACAUCCUAGUCUUAGGUUCAGAAGGCGCAAAGAGUUGCAUAUAGAUAAUAGUAAAUUGCUUGUAAAUAUUUCUGCAGAUUUGUAAUAUAUUUUUAUACUUUAAAAUGUACUGUAGAUUUCAAUUUUGGUUUACCUUUUAGAAGCAUGGAAGCAAAUUUUGAAAUGUAUAUAUUACGGUAGAACAAAUGUUGAAGGAUAAUGUAAUUUUCUUGAGCUGCCAGAAUAACUGUUAACAAAAACCCCACAAAAAGCACCUUGCCUAAUUAUAAAUAUAAAGUGACAUUUGUGGUUUUCUGCAAAUGCCAAUUACUACUGCUAAUGUCUUAAUGUAUUGUGCAAGAUGUAAACAGCAUGACUUGGAUUGUGUCUUUAAACUUAGAUUUCCUGGACAGAGGCAGGCUUUUUAAAAAAGCCUGUAGUACCCUUGUUUCGCACAGUUGUAAACCCUUCAUACAAUGUAUCCUUACCUGAGCACUUCACCUGUAUCCACUGCUUCCCAUCCAAAUCAAGUUGCUACUGCUUUUUCAGCUGCAUUUUUAUAAUAAACUAUAAAAUGAAA
This is an RNA transcript of Hemiscyllium ocellatum (epaulette shark), 2819 nucleotides long. It is a transcript of the gene named AE binding protein 2, with no coding region annotated. The transcript is spliced from 10 exons. The record is from RefSeq and is a predicted model, not a curated record. NCBI's taxonomy places the organism in Eukaryota, Metazoa, Chordata, Chondrichthyes, Orectolobiformes, Hemiscylliidae.